CGGGGGGCUGCACCAGUGAGGAAUAUUGCACAAUGGGGGGAACCCUGAUGCAGCAACGCCGCGUGGAGGAUGACGCAUUUCGGUGUGUAAACUCCUUUUAUAUGUCAAGAAAAUGACGGUAGCAUAUGAAUAAGCACCGGCUAACUCCGUGCCAGCAGCCGCGGUAAUACGGAGGGUGCAAGCGUUACUCGGAAUCACUGGGCGUAAGGGACGCGUAGGCGGGUUGGAAAGUCAGGUGUGAAAUCCUACAGCUUAACUGUAGAACUGCACUUGAAACUUCUAAUCUAGAGUAUGGAGGGGGAGAUGGAAUUAGUGGUGUAGGGGUAAAAGCCGUAGAUAUCACUAGGAAUACCUAAAGCGAAGGCGAUCUCCUGGAACAUUACUGACGCUAAGGCGUGAAAGCGUGGGGAGCAAACAGGAUUAGAUACCCCGGUAGUC
RNAcentral lists this ribosomal RNA (438 nucleotides) under uncultured bacterium. RNAcentral describes it as "partial 16S ribosomal RNA". It matches the Rfam family "Bacterial small subunit ribosomal RNA", at positions 339 to 795 of the family's 1533-position model. The record is from RNAcentral.